RNAcentral lists this ribosomal RNA (514 nucleotides) under cf. Protobonellia sp. Ech24. RNAcentral's name for it is "partial 16S rRNA". It matches the Rfam family "Bacterial large subunit ribosomal RNA", at positions 1796 to 2608 of the family's 2925-position model. Lineage: Eukaryota; Metazoa; Annelida; Polychaeta; Echiuroidea; Bonelliidae. The record is from RNAcentral.
UCGCCUGUUUUUCAAAAACAUUGCCUAAUGAAUAAAAAUAUUAGGUAACACCUGCCCAGUGAAUUAUUUUCAACGGCCGCGGAAACCCGUGCAAAGGUAGCAUAAUCAUUUGCCCCUUAAUUAGGGGCUUGUAUGAAUGGAUAAACGAGAAAUUAACUGUCUCUGGAGCACCAAUAAAAACUAUCCUUUAUGUGAAUAGACAUAAAUAAUUUUUGAAGACAAGAAGACCCUACUGCGCUUUAUUGAAAAUAAAUUUCUUCUAUAAUUUAUAUCAAUUUCGUUGGGGCGACACCGGAUACCCCAAACCAUCCGAAUAACUACAGGAAAACAAUCCACAUUAACUGACCCUAAAAAGAUUCAAGGAUAAGCUACCAUAGGGAUAACAGGCUAAUCCCCUUUAAGAGCCCUUAUCGACGAGGGGGGUUGGCACCUCGAUGUUGGCUUAGGGUAUCACAUAGGCGCAGCCGCCUAUAAAUGAAGGUUUGUUCAACCUACUAAACCCUACGUGAUCUGA